RNAcentral lists this transfer RNA (69 nucleotides) under Metaphycus eriococci. RNAcentral describes it as "tRNA-Trp". The record is from RNAcentral. Lineage: Eukaryota; Metazoa; Arthropoda; Insecta; Hymenoptera; Encyrtidae.
AAAAUUUUAAGUUAAAUAAACUUUAAACCUUCAAAGUUUAAUAUAUAUAUAUUAUUUAUAUAAAUUUUA